Long non-coding RNA from Acyrthosiphon pisum (pea aphid), 2588 nucleotides. RefSeq lists it as uncharacterized. Lineage: Eukaryota; Metazoa; Arthropoda; Insecta; Hemiptera; Aphididae. The transcript has 3 exons. The record is from RefSeq and is a predicted model, not a curated record.
UGGUAACAGUGGUACAAGCAGUAUUAGGUAUAACCUAUUUGUAUAAUAAUAUACAUAAUAUAUUAUUAUAUACCUACCUACGGUAAUUAUAAACUUUGUAGCCAACGCAAAUGCAUUCUGCUUGAUUUAUGAGCAAAAGUUUUGUGACAAGUCUUGGGAUUUGAACGCACUGCCCUCUUAUCUGUUUUGUUAUUUUUCAUUGUUCUACAGUAAUAACAUGUCGUCCGAUAUCCAAUAGGUAUCUGUUAUACUCUAUGAUGAUGUAUAUUUAUGAAGGGCGAGCAUUAUUGGCACACGAAGGUUAUUAGCAUCGACUUAGUACCUACGACCUUCCACCAGCUUCGUCCGCGGUGACCAAUUGACGUUUGCCAAACCGAUUCAUUACAUUAGUAGAAUUGAUUAUACUGAACAAACUCUAAAUUGGAUCCGUCCUCGUCCACCACCACCACCGCCUUCACCCCCGACCCGAUAACAGCGGCUCGACCAGGAACACACUGUGGUUUCAACACAUAGUCAGUGGCACCGAUGCACAAACUACCAUCAUGAGUGAUGCUAUAACCGUCUGGAUUGCAACCGCCACGGAAAAUACUAUCCGAGAUAAUUUAAUAUAAGUUUUAUUAGUUAUUUAUAGUUUAAUACAUUUAAUAUAAUAUACGAUAUAUUAUGUACACGCACACUAACGCACCUCUAUAGAACAAGACUGUCACAAUUUUUUUGUUUUGAGAAAAAGUGAUUUUAGAUAAGAUAUUUGAAAAGGUUUUUUUACCAAUGCGUUUGAAACCAAAAACUUAAAUACUUGCAGAGAUACUUUACAAUAAUAUGACUUUUUAAAAUAUCAUGAAAUACUCUCUUAAUCCCAAACAGUUGGACUCAUGGCUUUUUAAAUUUUUUUUUAAAAGUGCAAUACUGCCAUAUUCUGAUUUCUGAUGUGUGGCUUUAUUGCAUGCAGAAAUUGAUUUUAAGACCGCCAUACUAUACUAAAAUAUAACAGUAUUACAUUUCAUAUUGUGACCACUGUAUAACAAAUUAUAAAAUGCAACACCGCCACAAAUCUAAAUAUUUCUGUUUUGCACUCGAUCUAGAUAUAUAGCUAUAUCACAUGAUAACUAGAUUUGAUUUAGUGCAAGAACACCACAAAUCGAAAUUAGGUUUGAAUUUCGGUCAUGAAUUUCUACUUAGGUGAUCGAUCGGAUAAAUUACAACAAGUGUAGUGUCAUAAAGUAAAUAAUACUUCUUUCUUGCUUUGUAAAUUAGAUACACAUUUAAUAAUUCAAUACCGACUCAUCAUUUUUGUGGCGAAAUAAAAAAAUAUAUCGAAUGUCCAUGGGUUUUGUAGAACUAUUUAUUCACACCCCUGUAAACUUGGCAGCUGAUUCAACUGAGUUUUUUUUAUCCUUUUUAGGUUUUUUAGAUUUUAAUUUUUUUCUACUAGGGUUUUUUUAAUUUAACUUACAUUUUUUUUUGUUUGUUUAAAUUAGUUUUCCAUUAUUUUUAGUAACAAAUGUUGUACGUUUUCCAACAAUGUCCAACGAUCCACCAACAAAUUUGUUGGAUUGAUUAGAUCGGUGUCUGCUAAUGUUGCGCUGCCAAGUUCACAGGGUUUUUAAUCCACUAUCCUAAAGCAGCCAUAACUCAGAGUUAACGAAUUUUGAGUAGUGUCUGUCUCGUUCUAGAGGUGCGAUUUUAUUAAUAUUAUAGGCUAGUGCCACUUCCAUUUUACCAUAGUGUCUGUAUCACUCUCGGCACCAAUGCUCAACUACUAUGCUGUUUCACCGUAUUGUAGUUUAUAGACGGACACGUGUUGGAAGUCACCCAACGAAUCAGUAUUAAUUAUUUUGUUCGUAUAAUUGAAUUUAUGGACCGACAUACUUUGACAGCGCAUAAUUUAAUCGCAAAAACUAUACAUUUCUUGGUAUUAUAAUGCAUAUACAGUAUUGUUUCGUAGUAUCCUACGCAUUAUAAUAUGCAUGGCCAAGUGUUACCCUGACCCUGCUUCUAUGGAAAGGACCUAUGCAAUUUGUUGGGAUUAAUUCUUGCAUAUUAAUAUAUUGUCUAGGUAAAAUAUUAUAAUACAUAAUCGUCUAAACGCUCUAAACUACGAGAAUGAUUAUGAAAUAUAAGGAACUCCAUACUCGAUCAUUUUUAGAGAAAAUCUGUUCCAGAUGAAUAUUAUUAAACCAGAAAAUAUAUUGUUUACCGUUCAAAUAGAGAAAAAAACAUUAAAAAAUUUCAAUUAUUUACAGAGAUAAUAUAAUUUCUUUUUAAAAAAAUUUGCAUUAUUAUUAUUAAAAUUAAAAUUUCUAUCGGUUAAGUUUCGAACUCCCGGAAAUGGGAUACUAGAAAUUCCGAGGGAAUUUCGUGAACGAGAUAGUCCAUGGGAAUGCAAAAACAUUAAACGUGUAUUUUACAAAGAAUUUUUUUGUUUUAUAUCAGGUAAAGUAACUAUAUGAACAUUACUCGGUGCCGAACGGCAUCUAUCCAUUGUUUGCUUAUUCCCAAAUAGCUCCCAUCGAAAAUGGUUCCACCCAAAUUUACCCAAUGUAUGAAUUUUAUAUCUACAUUUUUUUUUAACGAACGAUUUUUUUAAA